RNAcentral lists this transfer RNA (68 nucleotides) under Proechimys trinitatis. Its description in RNAcentral is "tRNA-Arg". It matches the Rfam family "tRNA". Rfam says of the family: Transfer RNA (tRNA) molecules are approximately 80 nucleotides in length. Their secondary structure includes four short double-helical elements and three loops (D, anti-codon, and T loops). Further hydrogen bonds mediate the characteristic L-shaped molecular structure. tRNAs have two regions of fundamental functional importance: the anti-codon, which is responsible for specific mRNA codon recognition, and the 3' end, to which the tRNAs corresponding amino acid is attached (by aminoacyl-tRNA synthetases). tRNAs cope with the degeneracy of the genetic code in two manners: having more than one tRNA (with a specific anti-codon) for a particular amino acid; and 'wobble' base-pairing, i.e. permitting non-standard base-pairing at the 3rd anti-codon position. The record is from RNAcentral. Lineage: Eukaryota; Metazoa; Chordata; Mammalia; Rodentia; Echimyidae.
UAGUAGUUAGUUUAAUUAAAACAAAUGAUUUCGACUCAUUAAAUUAUGCUUAAGUACAUAACUACUAA